GUUUGAUCCUGGCUCAGAUUGAACGCUGGCGGCAGGCCUAACACAUGCAAGUCGAGCGAGAAAGGCCUUCGGGCUGAGUACAGCGGCGGACGGGUGAGUAACGCGUAGGAAUCUACCCGGUAGUGGGGGACAACAUGGUGAAAACCAUGCUAAUACCGCAUACGCCCUAUGGGGGAAAGCGGGGGACCUUCGGGCCUCGCGCUAUCGGAUGAGCCUGCGUAAGAUUAGCUAGUUGGUGGGGUAAAAGCCUACCAAGGCGACGAUCUUUAGCUGGUCUGAGAGGAUGAUCAGCCACACUGGGACUGAGACACGGCCCAGACUCCUACGGGAGGCAGCAGUGGGGAAUAUUGCGCAAUGGGCGAAAGCCUGACGCAGCCAUGCCGCGUGUGUGAAGAAGGCCCUAGGGUUGUAAAGCACUUUCAAUUGGGAGGAAAGGUUGCUGGUUAAUAACCAGUAGCUGUGACGUUACCUUUAGAAGAAGCACCGGCUAACUCCGUGCCAGCAGCCGCGGUAAUAAGGGCGAAU
RNAcentral lists this ribosomal RNA (525 nucleotides) under uncultured Gammaproteobacteria bacterium. Its description in RNAcentral is "bacterial SSU rRNA". It matches the Rfam family "Bacterial small subunit ribosomal RNA", at positions 11 to 533 of the family's 1533-position model. The record is from RNAcentral. Lineage: Bacteria; Pseudomonadati; Pseudomonadota; Gammaproteobacteria.